AGAACGAACGCUGGCGGCAGGCCUAAUACAUGCAAGUCGAACGCACUCUUCGGAGUGAGUGGCAGACGGGUGAGUAACGCGUGGAAACCUUCCCAAUAGUACGGAAUAACUCCGGGAAACCGGUGCUAACACCGUAUAAGCCCUUCGGGGGAAAGAUUUAUCGCUAUUGGAUGGGUCCGCGUCGGAUUAGCUUGUUGGUAGGGUAAUGGCCUACCAAGGCGACGAUCCGUAGCUGGUCUGAGAGGAUGAUCAGCCACACUGGGACUGAGACACGGCCCAGACUCCUACGGGAGGCAGCAGUAGGGAAUCUUGGACAAUGGGCGAAAGCCUGAUCCAGCCAUGCCGCGUGAGUGAAGAAGGCCUUAGGGUUGUAAAGCUCUUUUGGCGGGACGAUAAUGACGGUACCCGCAGAAUAAGCCCGGCUAACUUCGUGCCAGCAGCCGC
RNAcentral lists this ribosomal RNA (444 nucleotides) under uncultured bacterium. Its description in RNAcentral is "SSU rRNA". It matches the Rfam family "Bacterial small subunit ribosomal RNA", at positions 26 to 518 of the family's 1533-position model. The record is from RNAcentral.